This is a small nuclear RNA of Drosophila melanogaster (fruit fly), 160 nucleotides long. Lineage: Eukaryota; Metazoa; Arthropoda; Insecta; Diptera; Drosophilidae. The record is from Ensembl.
ACCUUCCUUGUCUUGGGGAGCAGAAAUGUUCAAUGAACGUCUAGUGAGGACAUUGCUGCUGACACCAAUGAUGACACCCCCGCUCGCCGAUCGUUCGCGAUUGGAGUUCGGAAUUUUUGGACCAGGCUCCUUUACUUUACAGGGAGCCGCCUCUUGAAUG